Molecule: long non-coding RNA, 1795 nt
Organism: Venturia canescens
Lineage: Eukaryota; Metazoa; Arthropoda; Insecta; Hymenoptera; Ichneumonidae
Exons: 2
Source: RefSeq, a predicted model, not a curated record
UUCUACUCCGCACAAUCCAAUAUUUUUCACCUUGAACAUAAUAUUUGUAAAAUUGUCUAAUUUAUUCAGUUUUACGUACUAAGAUACGUAUGAACCUAUGAGAUUCUUCGUCUGCUUAACAAAUAUUCAAUAUUUUCUUUUUAAGAAUAAAAUUAAUUAUGUUAGUUGGAAUGAACGAGGUUAAUUUAAUGAGAUAAAAAAGUUUAUGAAUUUACACGUGUAGUGCUCUUUUGAAUCAUUUAAUUAUACGCGAACGUCGAGAUUAGCACAAUUGAUCCACCAAUCAAUUGAAAGCAGUCGAUAAGUCUGUUUGCAUUACAUACGAACACAUGAUUAACUCGAUUUCGUUGCUCAACGAGUAACGAAAUUUUGUUAUAACACAAAAGUUUUGAAAAUAUGAUAAGUUGACACUCAAUAUUGCCACUCACUACCGAAUGAUAUGUCUCACUUAUUUAGCCACAAUUUGAAUUGGUUCCAUCAAUACGUUUUUACUUUAUUACGCAGCGAUUUUUCGUUCGUAUAUAAGCCGGAUUACGAGUCUUCCAGAGAGCAGAGAGUCGAUCGCGUUCGUUGAGGUAAGUCACCUUUCCGUAAAGAUUUUACGAAGAAUUAUAAAGUGAAAAUUUUAGAAGAAUUCGGAAAAAGGGAGUGACACUUUUCGGACCUUUGAAAUUGUGUGAUCUUUUGAAAGUCUAAUUUUUUAAAUUAUUUUUUUAUUUUUUCAAUAUUUUUUUAUUUCAAAUAAUUUGGAAGAAAUACAAUUUUUUAACAGGACAUCUAGCAAUAUUGACGUUCACUCAAAAAUCAUAUUUUCUCUGUCUCUCUCUCUUUUUCUUCAAAGCUUGCAAAUAUUCAAGAAACUUUUCGGGCCACAAUGCAUUCAAUUGAGCUUACAAAAACUUUAAUAAAAAAAAAAGUUUUUCACAUUCUAUUUUUUAAAUCUGCUUUUGGAAGCGUUGAGAAAUAUACGCAAACCUCUGAUGAUUUACUCCUAGAAUUUGCUCGAAAAAUCAUAUCCUAUGGUAAUCAAGAGACGCGGUAGCGGCUCGAUUUUUAUUCGAAGAAUUGAGACUUCAAAUGGUUUCCGUUCAAGGUCUUUCCGAAAAUGUUUAACGGCAAGUUACAAUUAAGAAAAAAUGACUUCAUUUCCUAAACUAUUUUUAACAUAAACGUUUCGAAAAAAAUAAUAUUUCGGUAAUCUUUUAGAAUUGGAUGCAGAUUUUCCUAAAGCAUUGAUAUAAUGAAGAUUUGCCUCGCAGUGGGGAUUUUGGGAGCAAUGAUAGUUGCAAUUCAUGCUUCACCCCAUCGAGAUCUUGACCCUUCGCCCGAUCACACGGCAGAUUUUGGGAUCCCAAAGUACUCUCAGUCCGGGCCCUACAAGCCUGUUCCCAUGAGGUUUCAGAGACGUUCUCUCGACUCGAAUUCGGAAAAGGAAUACCAAGGACUCAAGAAAUCAUCGUUCAUCCUUCCGGAAAGUGAUCGCAAAGGAGCCGAGGCAACGGGUGAGGCCAGGACAUUUUAUUAUCCGGAUGGAUCGAAAAUGUAUACAGACUUUAUUGCGUAAGCCUACCUGCUUUAAAACUGGAAUUAAUCUUGAUGGGAGAAAUAACCGAGGCUUGUAACACGACCAACGCAUGAGUACAUUUCUGUGAAGCCUGUGAAGUUGUAAACGACGAAGAGACCGCAUCAAUAAUCGCGUUCGAUCCCCCGAAAAGUUCAGAAAUGAAACUGUGAAUGAUGAAAAAAUAGUAAUUGUAAGAUCGAAUGCACAAUAAAAAUCCAAAAAUAACUUUCA